CCCUUAGACGUUCUGGGCCGCACGCGCGCUACACUGACACAGGCAACGAGCUUUCCUUUACCGAAAGGUAUGGGUAAUCUUUUGAAACUGUGUCGUGCUGGGGAUAGAUCCUUGCAAUUUUUGAUCUUAAACGAGGAAUUCCUAGUAAGUGCGAGUCAUCAACUCGCGUUGAUUACGUCCCUGCCCUUUGUACACACCGCCCGUCGCUACUACCGAUUGAAUGGCUUAGUGAGGCCUCAGGAUCCGCGCUUAAUGUGUGGAGAAUUUGGACAAACUACGUCAUUUAGAGGAAGUAAAAGUCGUAACA
Molecule: ribosomal RNA, 307 nt
Filed under: uncultured eukaryote
Lineage: Eukaryota
Description: partial 18S ribosomal RNA
Rfam family: Eukaryotic small subunit ribosomal RNA
Source: RNAcentral